AUUGAACGCUGGCGGCAGGCCUAACACAUGCAAGUCGAGCGGAUGAAGGGAGCUUGCUCCUGGAUUCAGCGGCGGACGGGUGAGUAAUGCCUAGGAAGCUGCCUGGUAGUGGGGGAUAACGUCCGGAAACGGGCGCUAAUACCGCAUACGUCCUGAGGGAGAAAGGGGGGGAUCUUCGGACCUCACGCUAUCAGAUGAGCCUAGGUCGGAUUAGCUAGUUGGUGGGGUAAAGGCCUACCAAGGCGACGAUCCGUAACUGGUCUGAGAGGAUGAUCAGUCACACUGGAACUGAGACACGGUCCAGACUCCUACGGGAGGCAGCAGUGGGGAAUAUUCGACAAUGGGCGAAAGCCUGAUCCAGCCAUGCCGCGUGUGUGAAGAAGGUCUUCGGAUUGUAAAGCACUUUAAUUUGGGAGGAAGGGCAGUAAGUUAAUCCCUUCCUGUUUUGACGUUACCAACAGAAUAAGCCCCGGCUAACUUCGUG
This 484-nucleotide ribosomal RNA is filed under the name uncultured bacterium. RNAcentral's name for it is "partial 16S ribosomal RNA". It matches the Rfam family "Bacterial small subunit ribosomal RNA", at positions 30 to 507 of the family's 1533-position model. The record is from RNAcentral.